Pocillopora damicornis (cauliflower coral) is the source of this 896-nucleotide long non-coding RNA. Lineage: Eukaryota; Metazoa; Cnidaria; Anthozoa; Scleractinia; Pocilloporidae. The record is from RefSeq and is a predicted model, not a curated record.
UAUAAAUUUAUUCGUUUAGAAAUUGCAGUUCCCAUGGAAGAAAGUGACGUCUUCGAGGGAGAAAUUCGGGAUUUCAAGAGAGAUCUUGACCUGAUGCAAGAGACCUUUAGGGGGAAUUUUGAGAUACGCUAGACUCGACCGGCUGAGGAAACGCCUCGCGAUGUCGACUUCAUCGCAUCCGCAGUAGUUUGUCAUUAAAACUUGUAACAUUAGGAAAGAAAAAGCGAGCACAUGUAAAAUUGUAAAAAUGCAUAUGAGUGUGGGAUAGUGUACUCUGGUAAUUCAGAAUCUGGCCAGGAGCCCAUAACUCUUGAUGGGCUCCUGAUCUGGCAUUAUUAUGAAAGGAACUCGCUAGACAGAGUUCAAUUCCGAGGUUCUUUUUUUAGUGUCAUUCAUUGUGUCGCGCAGUUUACCCCGUUACAUGCAUGCGUAUCUAUUCAUAUAGGGCUGCACCGUCAGUUUGUCGGCGGUCGCGCCACUACACUGAACGAGGAGAAUGUUAAGUUUCAUUGCCCAUUAGAUCCUGCCAAUGCAUGUAUUCUCAAUUUUUUCACCGAAAAGUUACUCUUGCGAUUAGAAAUAGAUAUCGAAUUUCUGAGGAAUUAAGUUUUUUAAACUUUAUUUUCAUCUUUUUGGUAGUGUUGAAGGACUGUUCUACAUUCCGUGAAAAGUGCCAUAAAGCCUUAGCCCUACCCCUCCCCAACUCUGUUGUACACCUAUCAUCACUCUCACAUGCAUUUUAUUAUAAAAUUCUUACUAAAAGCUUUAUUUAGGAAGGUGUCUAUACGUGUUUCUGUUGCUGUAAUUUGAUUUCGAAUAUUGAAUUUGUGUAACUUAGAAAAAUAUAAAAGGCUAAUGAAAGAAAUGACUAAGGCUUGUCCUGUUUUUACCCUUUA